GCUUUGGCCAUACCACCCCGAACACACCUGAUCUCAGUAGCUAAGCAGGGUCAGGCCUGGUUUGUACUUGGAUGGGAGACCGCCUGGGAAUACCAGGUGCUCUAAGCU
Molecule: ribosomal RNA, 108 nt
Organism: Salmo trutta (river trout)
Lineage: Eukaryota; Metazoa; Chordata; Actinopteri; Salmoniformes; Salmonidae
Source: Ensembl